RNAcentral lists this ribosomal RNA (697 nucleotides) under Nosema granulosis. RNAcentral describes it as "partial small subunit ribosomal RNA". It matches the Rfam family "Microsporidia small subunit ribosomal RNA", at positions 82 to 822 of the family's 1311-position model. Lineage: Eukaryota; Fungi; Microsporidia; Nosematidae. The record is from RNAcentral.
AACAGCUCAGUAACUCUUAUUUUAUUUGAUGUAUUAGGAUUAUAACUAUGUUAAAUUAUAGAUAACAAUAAUACAAUAAGAAUAAGAUCUAUCAGUUAGUUGUUAAGGUAAUGGCUUAACAAGACUAUGACGGAUAACGGUAUUACUUUGUAAUAUUCCGGAGAAGGAGCCUGAGAGAUUGCUACUAAGUCUAAGGAUUGCAGCAGGGGCGAAACUUGACCUAUGAUAUGAUAUUGAGGCAGUUAUGAGUAGUAUUUUUAAUUAUUGUAGUAUUGUAAGUAUAUACUACAAGAUAAAUCGGAGGGCAAAUCGAGUGCCAGCAGCCGCGGUAAUACUUGUUCCGAUAGUGUGUAUGAUGAUUGAUGCAGUUAAAAAGUCUGUAGUUUAUUAUUAAUAAGCAUUGUGAGGUAUAUUGUAUGGUUAGGAGAGAGAUGAAAUGUGAUAACCCUAACUGGAUGAACAGAAGCGAAAGCUAUAUACUUAAAUGUUUUAUUAGAACAAGGACGUAAGCUAGAGGAUCGAAGAUGAUUAGAUACCAUUGUAGUUCUAGCAGUAAACUAUGUUAAAUCAUAGAUACAUUAUUAAUAUGUAUUUAUGUAAAGAAAUUAAGAUUAUAUUGACUCUGGGGAUAGUAUGAUCGCAAGAUUGAAAAUUAAAGAAAUUGACGGAAGAAUACCACAAGGAGUGGAUUGUGCGG